ACGCUGGCGGCGUGCCUAAUACAUGCAAGUAGAACGCUGAAGGAGGAGCUUGCUUCUCUGGAUGAGUUGCGAACGGGUGAGUAACGCGUAGGUAACCUGCCUGGUAGCGGGGGAUAACUAUUGGAAACGAUAGCUAAUACCGCAUAACAGUAGAUGUUGCAUGACAUUUGCUUAAAAGGUGCAAUUGCAUCACUACCAGAUGGACCUGCGUUGUAUUAGCUAGUUGGUGGGGUAACGGCUCACCAAGGCGACGAUACAUAGCCGACCUGAGAGGGUGAUCGGCCACACUGGGACUGAGACACGGCCCAGACCCCUACGGGAGGCAGCAGUAGGGAAUCUUCGGCAAUGGACGGAAGUCUGACCGAGCAACGCCGCGUGAGUGAAGAAGGUUUUCGGAUCGUAAAGCUCUGUUGUAAGAGAAGAACGAGUGUGAGAGUGGAAAGUUCACACUGUGACGGUAUCUUACCAGAAAGGGACGGCUAACUACGUGCCAGCAGCCGCGGUAAUACGUAGGUCCCGAGCGUUGUCCGGAUUUAUUGGGCAUAAAGCGAGCGCAGGCGGUUAGAUAAGUCUGAAGUUAAAGGCUGUGGCUUAACCAUAGUACGCUUUGGAAACUGUUUAACUUGAGUGCAAGAGGGGAGAGUGGAAUUCCAUGUGUAGCGGUGAAAUGCGUAGAUAUAUGGAGGAACACCGGUGGCGAAAGCGGCUCUCUGGCUUGUAACUGACGCUGAGGCUCGAAAGCGUGGGGAGCAAACAGGAUUAGAUACCCUGGUAGUCCACGCCGUAAACGAUGAGUGCUAGGUGUUAGACCCUUUCCGGGGUUUAGUGCCGCAGCUAACGCAUUAAGCACUCCGCCUGGGGAGUACGACCGCAAGGUUGAAACUCAAAGGAAUUGACGGG
RNAcentral lists this ribosomal RNA (900 nucleotides) under uncultured bacterium. RNAcentral's name for it is "bacterial SSU rRNA". It matches the Rfam family "Bacterial small subunit ribosomal RNA", at positions 33 to 917 of the family's 1533-position model. The record is from RNAcentral.